RNAcentral lists this ribosomal RNA (400 nucleotides) under phytoplankton environmental sample. RNAcentral's name for it is "partial small subunit ribosomal RNA". It matches the Rfam family "Eukaryotic small subunit ribosomal RNA", at positions 587 to 988 of the family's 1831-position model. The record is from RNAcentral.
AGCUCCAAUAGCGUAUAUUAAAGUUGUUGCAGUUAAAAAGCUCGUAGUUGGAUUUCUGGUGGGAGCGACCGGUCCGACGCUUAGCGUGGGUACUUGUGUCGUCUCCGGCCAUCCUUGGGGAGAGUCUGUCUGGCAUUAAGUUGUCGGGCAGAGGAUCCUCAUCGUUUACUGUGAAAAAAUUAGAGUGUUCAAAGCAGGCUUAUGCCGUUGAAUAUAUUAGCAUGGAAUAAUAAGAUAGGACUUUGGUACUAUUUUGUUGGUUUGCGCACCAAAGUAAUGAUUUAUAGGGACAGUUGGGGGUAUUCGUAUUUCGUUGUCAGAGGUGAAAUUCUUGGAUUUACGAAAGACGAACUACUGCGAAAGCAUUUACCAAGGAUGUUUUCAUUAAUCAAGAACGAAA